GUUAGCCGAGUCUCGGCGGAGCCGCCGCCGCCGCGGGCGCAGGAAAGGCCUGGAAAGCUGGCUGGCCUGUGCUGCUGGGAGCGCAGGGCCCCAGCAGCCUGCGUUUCCUCUCGUAACGGGCCUCUCCUGGAGACAGCUGGGCAGCAGCCUUCCGCAGCGCGAGCGAAACGCUCCCCCGGCGACUCGCACCACUUACACAGACCUGCUGCGCUCGCCACAUCCGGCACGCUCACGCACCCUGACGCCAAACACACUCCUACGCUCCUGCGCUUUCACUGCGACUCGGGCUGCCUGCUCUGAAAUGGACAUCACUAGUACAGAAAUACUCAUGCACUUCAGUCACACUCAGAUACCCUGAUUGGACACAACUCAUACAGAAAUGGUCAUUUACUGCAGUCACACUGAAAUACCCUGAUUGGACACAACUCAUACAGAAAUACAUACAGUAUGUACUUCAGUCACCCUGAAAUACCCUGAUUGGACAUCACUCAUACAGAAAUACAUAUGUACUGCAGCCACACUGAAAUACCCUGAUUGGACAUCACUUAUACAGAAAUACAUAUGUACUGCAGUCACACUGAAAUACCUUGAUUGGACAUCACUCAUACAGAAAUACAUAUGUACUGCAGCCACACUGAAAUACCCUGAUUGGACAUCACUCAAACAAUAAUACUCAUGUACUUUAGUCACACUGAAAUACCCUGAUUGGACAUCACUCAAACAAUAAUACUCAUGUACUUUAGUCACACUGAAAUACCCUGAUUGGACAUCACUCAUACAGAAAUACAUAUGUACUGCAGUCACUCUGAAAUACCCUGAUUGGACAUCACUCACACCCUGAUUUUCAUACAGAAAUAUGUUGCAUCGUAUACUUUAAUCACAUCUAUUCUUGCAUUUGUUUUUGCACCAUAAGGAAGUGUGGAUCGGCACAUUCAAACAGACGGACAGGGACUGAUACAAUCAUAUGUAUGAGUGCUCAGUGCACUUUAUACAAAUCCAUGUGACAGCAAUUGCCCUUAUCCUUUUAUGUUAGAUUAUGGCGCUGUUAUUAAUGUGUAAUAAAGCAUUAACAGGUUAAUUUAUUCUUUAUUAUUAACACAGCUGAUUUUCAGCUUAGCCUUAAUAAUAGUAGAUAGGGUUUCCAUAAAUUGAAUAAUAUGUAUUUAUGUUGUCACUGACAGUCAGCAGUAUAUUUAAUGAUUUGAAUGCAAUUUUAAAUACUUUACGGAGUAUUUAUAACUGCACCAUAAUUGGUACCACAUAGUGGUAACACUGUGCAAAUGGUACCAAUUUCUUUUCUUGUGGAGGUUGAGAAAAAUGCAUGUCAGAAUAAAAUGUCAAGUGAAUAAAAAGUAAGUGUAACAUUUUCCUACUGACCCUGUCACUAUGCAGUAAAAAGUGAAACAUUAUUACUGUAAUAGCUGUAUAACAUGACCAAAAUGAGCACUGGUGUUUAUUUUGAGAGAUGUCUAAGGACUCUUCAAUAAAAAGAAUGUUGAACUUGGAUGCAUUUUAGCCGUAUAACAUGAACAAAAUGAACACUAGUUUUCCAGUGUGAAACUGUUACGCCGAAAAUAUUGAGACGAGGGUGAUGGCGUGCAACUGCCCAAACUGUGUGUAUGUUUCUUAUCAUACAUGAAAUGCCCAAACUGUGUGUAUGUCUUUUAUCAGUGUGUAAUUGUCCGAACUGUGCGUACGUUUCUUAUCAGUGUGGAAUUGUCCAAACUGUGUGUAUGUCUUUUAUCAGCGUGUAAAUGCCCAAACUGUGUGGAUGUCUUUUAUCAGUGUGUAAUUGUCCAAACUGUGUGUAUGUUUCUUAUCUAUGUGAUUCAUAAUCUGUCAUAGAACAGUACAGAAGGUUUAAAUCUCAUCUUGUGUGAGUAUUUUUAUCGUGAAGUGUAGAAGUGAUGGAUUAAGCGAACGCCACGGGCUCGGUUGGUGGAGGACGGUGGGGUGCUGCGUUUCCUGAGGCUGGAUUGUUCGCCUCUGAGGCGUCUCCUCCAUCGUGCCGCCGUGUUGGCGCGAGGAGGGAAGGGGGAAGGGGGAAGGGGGGAGAGGCAAAGCCGGAUUCAGACAGGUCCCUCGUUUCGCCGCUAACCACUUCAGACGUAUCGAUCUCUGCCCAAACCUCCGACCCCGACGCAGAGGAGGAAAAUGGGGAAAGGGGGAAUGUUCUU
Anguilla rostrata (American eel) is the source of this 2177-nucleotide long non-coding RNA. RefSeq lists it as uncharacterized. The transcript has 2 exons. NCBI's taxonomy places the organism in Eukaryota, Metazoa, Chordata, Actinopteri, Anguilliformes, Anguillidae. The record is from RefSeq and is a predicted model, not a curated record.